This is a long non-coding RNA of Cucurbita moschata (crookneck pumpkin), 1025 nucleotides long. RefSeq lists it as uncharacterized. The transcript is spliced from 4 exons. The record is from RefSeq and is a predicted model, not a curated record. NCBI's taxonomy places the organism in Eukaryota, Viridiplantae, Streptophyta, Magnoliopsida, Cucurbitales, Cucurbitaceae.
UCUGUUGAAAAUGCCACAGAUAAUCUCUUCCUCCUUCCUCCUUCCUCCUCACCGGCUCCCUCGAUGAGACCGUCAAGCUCUGGAAAUCUGACGAGCUUGACUUGGACCGCGCCAACACCGGCCACUGCCUUGGCGUCGUCUCUGUUGUUGCUCAUCCUUCCGGUUACGUUGCUGCCUCCGUUUCUCUCGAUAGCUUUGUUCGCGUAUUUGAGGUUGGUUCCAAUUCCACUAUCGCAACUCUCGAGGCGCCGCCGUUGAGGUCUGGCAAAUGCGGUUUAAUCCCGAGCAGUAACUUCUGCGUCAGGGUACCAUGUCAUGAGACAGAUACAAACACAUGGAAACUGGCUGCAACUCUAUCAAUUCCUCGUCCAGAAGGACCUAAACCCACUGAUAAAACUGCUUGCAAAAUUCUGUACUUUCAGUAGCAUGGAGCGUUAAUGGAAGAAGACUUGCUUGCGGUUAUGGAACCAUUUCAGUCUUCGACGUAGCUCGCUCAAAGUUUCUACACUACUUGGAAGGCCACUUCAUGCCAGUUCAAGCGACAGAACUGUUAUGCUUUGGGAUCUCCAAAUGAGGGCAGCUGUUCAAACAAUGAUCAAGCAUCGCGAUCAGGUCUGCUGGGGUGUUGUUGCAUUCAACAAGAGUAUCCGAUGGGGCUGGUGUGGAGGCUGGGCGACAGGCUAGUGUAUCCGAUGACAAGAGUAUCUCCCUGUACGAUUACAUUUGAAGCAGACAGAUGCAGGGAGGCAAGGACAAUGAGUAGUUUUCUAGAAAGCAAUCGGUGCCACCGCUUCAUCCAUAGCUGUUGCCCACACUAAUAUUCGUUCUACUUCUAUGUCAAGUUGCUUGUCUUUUUAGUCAUGAAUCAGCGACAUUAUUCUGUUGCCAACUUGUUAUCAGCGUUCAUUUGCUACCUAGAUUUGGAAUCAAGGGCAAUGGACCCCAAAUUUUAUUACAGGAGAAAGAAGCGCACCAAAACUUUGAAGCCAGACUGAAUAAUGAAAAGGGCUAUAGACAUGUUAAUA